Molecule: ribosomal RNA, 300 nt
Filed under: uncultured Alphaproteobacteria bacterium
Lineage: Bacteria; Pseudomonadati; Pseudomonadota; Alphaproteobacteria
Description: bacterial SSU rRNA
Rfam family: Bacterial small subunit ribosomal RNA
Source: RNAcentral
UGCGUGGGAAUUUGCCUUGGGGUGGGGAUAACCGCUGGAAACGGCGGCUAAUACCGCAUACGCCCUCGCGGGGAAGGAUUUAUCGCCCUCGGGAGGAGCCCGCGUUGGAUUAGCUUGUUGGUGGGGUAAGUGGCCCACCAAGGCGACGAUCCAUAGCUGGUCUGAGAGGAUGAUCAGCCACACUGGGACUGAGACACGGCCCAGACUCCUACGGGAGGCAGCAGUGGGGAAUAUUGGACAAUGGGCGAAAGCCUGAUCCAGCCAUGCCGCGUGAGUGAAGAAGGCCUUAGGGUUGUAAAG